CCUACGGGUGGCAGCAGUCGAGAAUCAUUCACAAUGGGGAAAACCCUGAUGGUGCGACGCCGCGUGGGGGAAUGAAGGUCUUCGGAUUGUAAACCCCUGUCAUGUGGGAGCAAAUUAAAAAGAUCGUACCACACGAGGAAGAGACGGCUAACUCUGUGCCAGCAGCCGCGGUAAUACAGAGGUCUCAAGCGUUGUUCGGAAUCACUGGGCGUAAAGCGUGCGUAGGCUGUUUCGUAAGUCGUGUGUGAAAGGCGCGGGCUCAACCCGCGGACGGCACAUGAUACUGCGAGACUAGAGUAAUGGAGGGGGAACCGGAAUUCUCGGUGUAGCAGUGAAAUGCGUAGAUAUCGAGAGGAACACUCGUGGCGAAGGCGGGUUCCUGGACAUUAACUGACGCUGAGGCACGAAGGCCAGGGGAGCGAAAGGGAUUAGAUACCCUUGUAGUC
RNAcentral lists this ribosomal RNA (446 nucleotides) under uncultured bacterium. Its description in RNAcentral is "partial 16S ribosomal RNA". It matches the Rfam family "Bacterial small subunit ribosomal RNA", at positions 338 to 795 of the family's 1533-position model. The record is from RNAcentral.